Molecule: ribosomal RNA, 1413 nt
Filed under: uncultured Glomeromycotina
Lineage: Eukaryota; Fungi; Glomeromycota
Description: eukaryotic LSU rRNA
Rfam family: Eukaryotic large subunit ribosomal RNA (bases 590-1413)
Source: RNAcentral
UAUUGCUCUUGAACGAGGAAUCCCUAGUAAGUACAAGUCACUAGCUUGUGCUGAUUACGUCCCUGCCCUUUGUACACACCGCCCGUCGCUACUACCGAUUGAAUGGCUUAGUGAGGCCUUCGGAUUGAAAUUCGGAGACUGGCAACAGACUCUUGGUUUUGAAAAGUUGGACAAACUUGGUCAUUUAGAGGAAGUAAAAGUCGUAACAAGGUUUCCGUAGGUGAACCUGCGGAAGGAUCAUUACCGAUCUCUUGGCUCUCGCAUCGAUGAAGAACGUAGCGAAGUGCGAUAAGUAAUGUGAAUUGCAGAAUUCCGUGAAUCAUCGAAUCUUUGAACGCAAAUUGCACUCUCUGGUAACCCGGGGAGUAUGCCUGUUUGAGGGUCAGUGUUAAUAAAAAUCGGUGCGUUGCAAUUUUUGUGAUGUUCCGGAGUUUGAGUUAUCUUAUCUUCUGGGUUUAAGAGGCUUAAAAUUGACCUUCUUUGUGCAUUUUAGACGUACAUAAAUUUUUUUUAUUCGUUUAUCUUAAUGCCAAAAUCUAUUAGAUGCGACCAUAUCGUGUGGUUCCGUGUCUAUAAAUUUUUCAUGAUUUGACCUCAAAUCAGGUAGGAACACCCGCUGAACUUAAGCAUAUCAAUAAGCGGAGGAAAAGAAAAUAACAAUGAUUCCCCUAGUAACUGCGAGUGAAGAGGGACAAGCUCAAAUUUUAAAUCUAUCGGGUUUUACCUGAUCGAGUUGUAAUUUGAAGAAGCGUUUUCUGCGUAUUUGGUCAGCCUAGUCCUAUUGAAUGAGGCAUCAUGGAGGUGAUAUCCCGUCCGGUUGAUCAUUGCGUUUACGAUACGCUUUCUAGAGUCAAGUGUUGGAUUGCAGCUUAAAAUGGGAGGUAAUUCUCCUUAGCUAAAUACCGGCGAGAGACGAUAGCGAACAGUACCGUGGGUAAAGAUGAAAGAACUUUGAAAAGAGAGUAACAGUACGUGCAAUUGUUGAAGUAACGAUUGAAGCCAGUCGUACCUCGUAUCCGGCUUUCGGGUGCAAUCCCGUGUUAAGUCGUAGAGAACCUAAACACCUUCAUGUUUUGCAUAUUCGUACUCUUGGGUGUACUUGCCCGUGUGGUUGGUUAACAUCAAUUUUGGUGGUCAUAAAAUGACUGGGGGAAUGUAGCUUCGAUCUUGUAUUGAAGUGUUAUAGCCUUCGGUAGAUGUGAUGAUCGAGAUUGAGGAUUGCAACGGAUACCCUUCGGGGCUACCUGUCUGGUCUCUGAUCGUUGCUCUGGUGCCGAAAGCUUGCUUACGGUUAUCAAAGUCGAUGGUCAAUAGGUUAGAACGGGUUAAAUUCGUUAAGGAUGUUGACGUAAUGGCUUUAAACGACCCGUCUUGAAACACGGACCAAGGAGUCUAACAUAUAUGCGAGUGUUC